UAAGACAGAGGAUGCAAACGUUGCUCGGAAUUACUGGGCGUAAAGCGCGCGCAGGCGGUCCCGUAAGUCGGGUGUGAAAGCCCCGGGCUCAACCCGGGAAGUGCACUCGAUACUGCGAGACUGGAGUACUGGAGAGGAGAGCGGAAUUCUCGGUGUAGAGGUGAAAUUCGUAGAUAUCGGGAGGAACACCAGCGGCGAAGGCGGCUCUCUGGACAGAUACUGACGCUGAGGCGCGAAAGCGUGGGAAGCAAACAGG
RNAcentral lists this ribosomal RNA (256 nucleotides) under uncultured bacterium. RNAcentral's name for it is "partial 16S ribosomal RNA". It matches the Rfam family "Bacterial small subunit ribosomal RNA", at positions 521 to 776 of the family's 1533-position model. The record is from RNAcentral.